This 467-nucleotide ribosomal RNA is filed under the name uncultured bacterium. Its description in RNAcentral is "partial 16S ribosomal RNA". It matches the Rfam family "Bacterial small subunit ribosomal RNA", at positions 28 to 506 of the family's 1533-position model. The record is from RNAcentral.
GACGAACGCUGGCGGCGCGCUUAACACAUGCAAGUCGAACGGAAGGGCCCUGCUUUUGUGGGGUGCUCGAGUGGCGAACGGGUGAGUAACACGUGAGUAACCUGCCCUUGACUUUGGGAUAACUUCAGGAAACUGGGGCUAAUACCGGAUAGGAGCUCCUGCUGCAUGGUGGGGGUUGGAAAGUUUCGGCGGUUGGGGAUGGACUCGCGGCUUAUCAGCUUGUUGGUGGGGUAGUGGCUUACCAAGGCUUUGACGGGUAGCCGGCCUGAGAGGGUGACCGGCCACAUUGGGACUGAGAUACGGCCCAGACUCCUACGGGAGGCAGCAGUGGGGAAUAUUGCACAAUGGGCGGAAGCCUGAUGCAGCAACGCCGCGUGCGGGAUGACGGCCUUCGGGUUGUAAACCGCUUUCGCCUGUGACGAAGCGUGAGUGACGGUAAUGGGUAAAGAAGCACCGGCUAACUACGU